RNAcentral lists this ribosomal RNA (1179 nucleotides) under Triticum aestivum (bread wheat). RNAcentral describes it as "partial small subunit ribosomal RNA". The record is from RNAcentral. Lineage: Eukaryota; Viridiplantae; Streptophyta; Magnoliopsida; Poales; Poaceae.
AUGCUCGACCCGCCCGAGCCCGACGAUGACGCCGCCCGACCGCCGCGCGCACCGGUCGCCGCCGCCUCGCCGAGAGGCCUCGUCCUCGCGUGCGCCGACCUGCUGCACCGCGGGGACCUCGACGGGGCGCGGCGCGCCGCGGGCGCCGUGCUCUCCGGUGCCGACCCCCGGGGAGACGCGGCCGACCGCCUCGCGCACCACUUCGCGCGCGCGCUCGCUCUACGGGCCGACGAGGGACGAAGUAGCGUUGGCCCGCUGGGCGUGGGCGUGGCGCCUGCAUCGUCCGCGGUGCACCUGGCGUACAACAAGAUCGCGCCGUUCCUGCGCUUCGCGCACCUGACUGCCAACCAGGCGAUCCUGGAGGCCGCUGCCGGCGCGCGGCGCGUGCACAUCGUGGACCUCGACGCCGCACACGGCGUGCAGUGGCCGCCGCUCCUUCAGGCCAUCGGCGACCGCGCUGACGCCGCCGUCGGCCCGCCCGAGGUCAGGAUCACCGGCGCCGGCCCCGACCUCGAUGUGCUCCUUCGCACCGGCGACCGCCUCCGCGCCUUCGCCAGCUCCCUCAACCUCCCAUUCCGCUUCCACCCGCUGCUCCUCCCCUGCACGGCUCAGCUUGCCGCCGACCCGGCCGCCUGCCUUGAGCUGCACCCGGACGAGACUCUGGCCGUCAACUGCGUGCUAUUCCUCCACAGGCUCUCCGGCGACGGUGAGCUCACCGCAUUCUUGAGGUGGGUCCGUUCGAUGAACCCCGCCGUGGUGACCAUCGCCGAGAGGGAAGGCGAAGCCGGCCGAGGAGAGGACGACGACGAGUUACCGCGGCGGGUGGCCGCGGCGAUGGACUUCUACUCGGCGGUGUUCGACGCGCUGGAGGCCACGAUGCCGCCGGGCAGCGCGGAACGGUUGGCGGUGGAGCAGGAGAUCCUCGGCACGGAGAUCGACGCGGUGGUGGCUGGCCCCGGCAGCGGCGGUGGGCGGCCCCGCAGCUUCGAAGCGUGGACGGCCGCCGCGCGCGCUGCGGGGCUCUCGCCGUGGCCGGCCAGCACGUUCGCGGUGUCGCAGGCGCGGCUGUUGCUGCGGCUACACUACCCGUCGGAGGGGUAUGCGGCGGAGGAGGCCCGCGGCGCGUGCUUCCUCGGCUGGCAGACGCGGACGCUCAUGUCGGUCUCUUCGUGGCACUAG